GGAGGAGUGGCAGAGUGGUCGAAUGCGGCGGUCUUGAAAACCGUUGAACGUCAAAAGCGUUCCGUGGGUUCGAAUCCCACCUCCUCCGCCA
This 91-nucleotide transfer RNA is filed under the name Marivivens sp. Its description in RNAcentral is "tRNA-Ser". It matches the Rfam family "tRNA". From Rfam's summary of the family: Transfer RNA (tRNA) molecules are approximately 80 nucleotides in length. Lineage: Bacteria; Pseudomonadati; Pseudomonadota; Alphaproteobacteria; Rhodobacterales; Paracoccaceae. The record is from RNAcentral. RNAcentral also lists the same sequence under 1 other name.